This 112-nucleotide ribosomal RNA is filed under the name Panthera tigris altaica (Amur tiger). Lineage: Eukaryota; Metazoa; Chordata; Mammalia; Carnivora; Felidae. The record is from RNAcentral.
GUCUACGGCCAUACCACCCUGAACGCGCCCGAUCUCGUCUGAUCUCGGAAGCUAAGCAGGGUCGAGCCUGGUUAGUACUUGGAUGGGAGAGAGAGAGAGAGAGACAGAGACA